This 206-nucleotide ribosomal RNA is filed under the name uncultured bacterium. Its description in RNAcentral is "partial 16S ribosomal RNA". It matches the Rfam family "Bacterial small subunit ribosomal RNA", at positions 568 to 774 of the family's 1533-position model. The record is from RNAcentral.
UUUGUAGGUGGCUUGCUAAGUCAGACGUGAAAUCCCUCAGCUUAACUGGGGAACUGCGUCUGAUACUGGUGAGCUUGAGUGCAGGAGAGGAACGCGGAGUUCCAGGUGUAGCGGUGAAAUGCGUAGAUAUCUGGAGGAACACCGGUGGCGAAGGCGGCGUUCUGGACUGCAACUGACACUGAGAAACGAAAGCCAGGGAGCAAACG